This 544-nucleotide long non-coding RNA is filed under the name Fukomys damarensis (Damara mole-rat). Its description in RNAcentral is "lncRNA (ENSFDAG00000028930.1)". The record is from RNAcentral. Lineage: Eukaryota; Metazoa; Chordata; Mammalia; Rodentia; Bathyergidae.
ACUUGGUGCUUUGAGAUAAUAUAUCCUCUGCCUUUCAACUAGCAUGGCUGUAUAUCACAGAGCUGCUAAUGGCAGCAAAGGCGUUUGAGGAAAUGGCCCCUGUCUCCUGCUGGUCUCCGUACUGUCCCGGGAGACUCACCAGGCCUGGCUUACAGGCCUGGCUUACUUUCCCAGCUACUUCCCUGGCUCUGGGCUGUCCUCACACCUUCCCCCAGGUGACUCCUGGAUGUGUGUGUGUGUGUGUGUGUGUGUGUGUGUGUGUGUGUGGACUGCAGAGGAGAGUCAUAAACUUUGAGAAAAACUGGAACUUUGCAUGUCCUUUCCAGGUCCAGUCUUCAGGGUGUCUGGCUAUGAGUGAGGAUCCCAGAAACGCAGCCUUGUUUCCCACCGCAGCUUCUCCAAUGCCUCACCUCGGAGCAACACACGGCUUGCUGACUUGACUCGAUGUCUGCCACGGGUGCGGGGGCACUGUUGACAGCGGUGGACUUAAGGUUUCUCAGGUGGGGUCUCUGUGAAAGUCCUUUCCUGCCUCCUGGGGUGUUGA